GUGGGGAAUAUUGCACAAUGGGCGCAAGCCUGAUGCAGCGACGCCGCGUGAGGGAUGAAGGCCUUCGGGUUGUAAACCUCUUUCGCCAGUGAAGCAGGCCAGGCCUUAUUCGCCUGGUUGACGGUAGCUGGAUAAGAAGCGCCGGCUAACUACGUGCCAGCAGCCGCGGUAAUACGUAGGGCGCAAGCGUUGUCCGGAAUUAUUGGGCGUAAAGAGCUCGUAGGCGGCUGGUCGCGUCUGUCGUGAAAUCCCCUGGCUUAACUGGGGGCUUGCGGUGGGUACGGGCCGGCUUGAGUGCGGUAGGGGAGACUGGAACUCCUGGUGUAGCGGUGGAAUGCGCAGAUAUCAGGAAGAACACCGGUGGCGAAGGCGGGUCUCUGGGCCGUUACUGACGCUGAGGAGCGAAAGCGUGGGGAGCGAACAGG
RNAcentral lists this ribosomal RNA (425 nucleotides) under uncultured bacterium. Its description in RNAcentral is "bacterial SSU rRNA". It matches the Rfam family "Bacterial small subunit ribosomal RNA", at positions 354 to 776 of the family's 1533-position model. The record is from RNAcentral.